ACUCCGAUACAAAGUGGGAUCU
This 22-nucleotide small nuclear RNA is filed under the name Arabidopsis thaliana (thale cress). RNAcentral's name for it is "snRNA_09143". The record is from RNAcentral. Lineage: Eukaryota; Viridiplantae; Streptophyta; Magnoliopsida; Brassicales; Brassicaceae.